RNAcentral lists this ribosomal RNA (533 nucleotides) under uncultured bacterium. RNAcentral's name for it is "bacterial SSU rRNA". It matches the Rfam family "Bacterial small subunit ribosomal RNA", at positions 355 to 902 of the family's 1533-position model. The record is from RNAcentral.
GGGGGAAUAUUGGACAAUGGGCGCAAGCCUGAUCCAGCAAUGCCGCGUGGGUGAAGAAGGUUUUCGGAUUGUAAAGCCCUUUCGGCGGGGACGAUGAUGACGGUACCCGCAGAAGAAGCCCCGGCUAACUUCGUGCCAGCAGCCGCGGUAAUACGAAGGGGGCUAGCGUUGCUCGGAAUGACUGGGCGUAAAGGGCGCGUAGGCGGUUUGCAUAGUCAGGCGUGAAAUUCCUGGGGGCUUAACCUGGGGGCUGCGUUUGAUACGUGCGGACUUGAGUGGGGGAAGAGGGUCGUGGAAUUCCCAGUGUAGAGGUGAAAUUCGUAGAUAUUGGGAAGAACACCGGUGGCGAAGGCGGCGACCUGGUCCUUGACUGACGCUGAGGCGCGAAAGCGUGGGGAGCAAACAGGAUUAGAUACCCUGGUAGUCCACGCUGUAAACGAUGUGCGCUGGAUGUUGGGUGACCUAGUCACUCAGUGUCGUAGCUAACGCGGUAAGCGCACCGCCUGGGGAGUACGGCCGCAAGGUUGAAACUC